UGAUCAGAAUCGGCCUGUUUCUCUCCUCAGCUGUCCGUUGCUGGAGGACCUGCAGACUCUGAGGGUCCUGAAGAACGGCGACGGCGCAGACGCCGCGUUCCGCAUGCAGAUGUUUAAAUUUGUGGGCGGCUCCUACACCGACGUCUUCCUCCACUGCAACGUGCAGAUCUGCCACGGCGGCCUGGGGGCGUGCCGGCCUGUGAGUCAGCUGGGCCCAGACACGCUCUGAGCACCGAGCUGUCGGCCCCAGAGAUAAACCGGCGUGUCCGCCCUCUGUGUCCACAGAACUGCUCCUCUGAAGACGGGUUUCUGAGAACCAGGAGGGACCUGCCGCGGUCCCACACGCUGACCUAUGGACCAAUCAGGCGGCUGCGCUCCGAAACGCCCGACCUGGAUGCCGCCGGAGUUCCUCCUGUGGAGACCUUGGUCCUGGGGGGGCUGCUGGGGGUCCUGCUGCUGGUCACCGCGGCACUGGGGCGGCUCUGGCUGCGCUCGCGGCGUUUUUACCCCACCCUGGAGGCGCAGCUCACCCUGUCCAACAUUCACCACCUCCAUGAGGGGGCCUCCUGAGCCGUACAUGGGGGGCGAUAAUAAACGUCUGGAAGCUUCUUUCUGUCUCCUUAAGUUCUUAAUAAACCCCAGGAGGGGUCGCCCGAGCCCCCUGGGUCAGAGCAGGAGGGAGGAGGGCAAACCGACGGUUCUGAAAUCAGAUCUCAAGUUUCCUUCAGCAGAUCUUCAGAUGUGUGUAAACCACACAGCCCCCCUGACCCCCAUCCCAUAAUAUCAGAAGUCAUCAGAUAGGAACAAAUGCUGCUGGGGGUCACAAAUGAAGACCUUCACCAUCAUCCUCCAUAAGGAGCCUGCUCCUCCCACUGUUCUCCUCAUGGAGCCCGGAGGCCUCAGACCAGAGUCCAUGAGGUUCCAUGAGGUUAAAGGUUAAUUUAUGGGCGGGAACACAGAGACCUGAGGGAUGGAUUCCUCCUUCCUCACUAAUCCUCAGAUUUGAUUUGUGUCAUGACAGUAAAUAAAAGAAGCAGAAGUUUAAAAUGACUCUUUAACAGCUGAGCGGUGUUUCCGGUCAGCUGUUUGCCGGUUUUCAACCGUUUUCUGUCUUUCCUCGUCCGGAUGUUCGGCAGGAAGGCGCUCGCGCGCAGCACCUCCUCCCGCCUUCAGGGAUUUCCCGUCUAUUUCAGGGCGCUCUCACGCGCCUGCGUAAAUCCCAAAUAUGUCCGACGUGAUGACGUCAGCUGCUGCGCACCAGCGUCCACGCCCCCAAUCGUCCGUCUUACGGACAACAGACAGACUCGGAACCAGAGGAAGAAGCAGCUGCCGGUACCCGCUCGUGGCGCUAACUUUCCCGCUCCGCUAGUUUUCCGAGAAGCUCGUCAAAGACCGGACACACCGGAGGACGCUGUCGCAGCGGCGCCGUGGUUCAGGUGAGCGGCGAGCGGCCACCGGCGAGCUACCGGAGCCGCGGAUGCUAACACCAUGAUGUUGUUGUUGUUUUAUUAUUGUUUAUCCAGAAGCUGUUCGUUUACUCCCGAGUGACUCCUCACCUCCUCGUGUUUACCGACAGUCGUUCGGGUCGGAGCUGAACCCGGUUCUGAAGCGGUUCGGCCAUAAAUAAACGCGGCUCUCUGUUGUCUUGUUGUUUGCUAAGAUGCC
Molecule: long non-coding RNA, 1665 nt
Organism: Oryzias sinensis (Chinese medaka)
Lineage: Eukaryota; Metazoa; Chordata; Actinopteri; Beloniformes; Adrianichthyidae
Source: Ensembl